This 202-nucleotide ribosomal RNA is filed under the name uncultured bacterium. RNAcentral describes it as "partial 16S ribosomal RNA". It matches the Rfam family "Bacterial small subunit ribosomal RNA", at positions 524 to 721 of the family's 1533-position model. The record is from RNAcentral.
UACGAAGGGGGCGAGCGUUGUUCGGAUUUACUGGGCGUAAAGGGCGCGCAGGCGGCUCGUUUUGUCAGGCGUGAAAGCCCCGGGCCUUAACCUGGGAACUGCGUUUGAUACGGACGGGCUAGAGUUCGGGGAGAGGAGGAGUGGAAUUCCCAGUGUAGAGGUGAAAUUCGUAGAUAUUGGGGAAGAACACCGGUGGCGAAGG